ACAGGAGGGCGACUGCAACCAGUGACUCACCCAUGUGCGAUAUGGGCCGUAAUAAUGCCAUAGACGGUUAAGUGCCAGGCCCCCACAGCCCGUCUGAUUCAUUGUAUUGCUCUUGAAGAAAAAGCAACAGAGAACAGAAGAAACAAUGUGCAAAGCAGGAUGAAGUCAUACUCCAAAUACGGUUUUCAACAGGCAAUCCACACCGUG
This is a long non-coding RNA of Triplophysa rosa, 207 nucleotides long. RefSeq lists it as uncharacterized. The transcript is spliced from 3 exons. The record is from RefSeq and is a predicted model, not a curated record. NCBI's taxonomy places the organism in Eukaryota, Metazoa, Chordata, Actinopteri, Cypriniformes, Nemacheilidae.